RNAcentral lists this ribosomal RNA (253 nucleotides) under uncultured bacterium. RNAcentral's name for it is "partial 16S ribosomal RNA". It matches the Rfam family "Bacterial small subunit ribosomal RNA", at positions 524 to 776 of the family's 1533-position model. The record is from RNAcentral.
GACGAACCGUACGAACGUUAUUCGGAAUUACUGGGCUUAAAGGGUGCGUGGGCGGCGCAGUAAGUUGGGUGUGAAAUCCCUCGGCUUAACCGAGGAAUUGCGCCCAAAACUACUGUGCUCGAGGGAGAUAGAGGUGAGCGGAACUUAGGGUGGAGCGGUGAAAUGCGUUGAUAUCCUAAGGAACACCGGUGGCGAAAGCGGCUCACUGGAUCUCUUCUGACGCUGAGGCACGAAAGCUAGGGUAGCAAACGGG